GAAGCCGGAAUUGCUAGUAAUGGCAGGUCAGCAUACUGCCGUGAAUACGUUCCCGGGCCUCGUACACACCGCCCGUCACACCAUGGGAGUUGGGAAUGCCCGAAGCCGGUGACCUAACCGAAAGGGAGGAGCCGUCGAAGGCAGGCUUGAUAACUGGGGUGAAGUCGUAACAAGGUACC
RNAcentral lists this ribosomal RNA (179 nucleotides) under uncultured bacterium. RNAcentral describes it as "partial 16S ribosomal RNA". It matches the Rfam family "Bacterial small subunit ribosomal RNA", at positions 1322 to 1500 of the family's 1533-position model. The record is from RNAcentral.